GGGUGAUUAGCUCAGCUGGGAGAGCACCUCCCUUACAAGGAGGGUGUCGGCGGUUCGAUCCCGUCAUCACCCACCA
Molecule: transfer RNA, 76 nt
Filed under: Escherichia coli
Lineage: Bacteria; Pseudomonadati; Pseudomonadota; Gammaproteobacteria; Enterobacterales; Enterobacteriaceae
Also listed under: 9 other names
Description: tRNA-Val
Rfam family: tRNA
About the family: Transfer RNA (tRNA) molecules are approximately 80 nucleotides in length. Their secondary structure includes four short double-helical elements and three loops (D, anti-codon, and T loops).
Source: RNAcentral